This 460-nucleotide ribosomal RNA is filed under the name uncultured bacterium. Its description in RNAcentral is "partial 16S ribosomal RNA". It matches the Rfam family "Bacterial small subunit ribosomal RNA", at positions 338 to 795 of the family's 1533-position model. The record is from RNAcentral.
CCUACGGGGCGCAGCAGUGAGGAAUAUUGGUCAAUGGACGAGAGUCUGAACCAGCCAAGUAGCGUGAAGGAUGACUGCCCUAUGGGUUGUAAACUUCUUUUAUAAAGGAAUAAAACGAGGCACGUGUGCCUUUUUGCAUGUACUUUAUGAAUAAGGAUCGGCUAACUCCGUGCCAGCAGCCGCGGUAAUACGGAGGAUCCGAGCGUUAUCCGGAUUUAUUGGGUUUAAAGGGAGCGUAGAUGGGUUGUUAAGUCAGUUGUGAACGUUUGCGGCUCAACCGUAAAAUUGCAAUUGAUACUGGCAGUCUUGAGUACAGUUGAGGUAGGCGGAAUUCGUGGUGUAGCGGUGAAAUGCUUAGAUAUCACGAAGAACUCCGAUUGCGAAGGCAGUUCACUGGACUGCAACUGACACUGAGGCUCGAAAGUGUGGGUAUCAAACAGGAUUAGAUACCCCUGUAGUC